Molecule: long non-coding RNA, 1218 nt
Filed under: Mytilus galloprovincialis (Mediterranean mussel)
Lineage: Eukaryota; Metazoa; Mollusca; Bivalvia; Mytilida; Mytilidae
Source: RNAcentral
GUCACUUUUAGCAUAGCUGUUAAUUUUUUUAUUUCUCUCCUUUUUAUAGAAUUUAUCAAUAUUCCAUCUGAAUUAGUAAGAAUCAGAGGAUUGGUAUACUGAAGUGUCACUAAAUGUAAACUAACUUUAUACUUAUUGCAACCAGUAACUGAUGAAAUGAUCAUAAAAUUGCCAUUAUACCUGCCCCCAACCUUUUUUCCCCACAUGAUUGUGUUUAGACUGUUUAAAGACAUCAACAUUAAUAUUGAUUUGGAUAGGAAAUAUUGUAAAAUGAAUUUCAAAUUUCAAAUUGAAUAACUAAUUCCAAGAAUUGUAAUAGUUUUGUCAUAGAUAAUUCCUAUAUUGUCUCCCCUCAGAAUACACUCCAAGUCCUAUCAGAUGUUUAAAUGUGGUACAGUGUUACCCCUCUACCCUUUACUUUAGUAGUUGUUUACUAUGCAAUUCUUCAGACAAUUUCAACACAUGGUUUGACAAAAACCAGUUGUUAUGACUACUGUAAAAUAUUUAUUUUUUUGAAUGUUUAAGUUUGUGAAAUAUAAAGCAAACAAUUGUGGGUGACGAACACUUAUUACACAACACUGCACCUGUUAUAACACAGAAAAUUUGAAGAUUGAUCUAUUCUUAUGAACGAUGUGAGGUUGAUUACAUUGUACCUAAGGGAUAAAAGAUAAUGGCCUUGCAAAUAUAAACCGUUGUCUAAAAAGGCCUUAUCUUGAUCUGAACAAUCAUAUGAAGUCCAUUAAUAUUUUUAAUGUCUCCUUCACCAAUGCCAAGGAUUGUAACUUCAAACAUUGAGUUUAUGGUAAAUAUGAAUACCUAUUUUUCUAUCUCUAAGACGAAACAUUUUAUAUAUGUACCUAAAGUUGAUUUGAUAAAAGUGUUUAACCUGGUAUAAAGACUCACUAUAUGUUUUCUGUGUAAUGUUUUGUGGACUUCUUUGUUGCUGUGUAUUUUUUAGAAUGUUCCCUUGGUAUCUUAUGCGAUUUUCAUGUAAAAGCUAUGAAUAGCAUUGAAUUAUAUGAUAUUCGAUUCAACAUUUUAUGUUUAUAACCACAAAACAAGUCAGUGUUACAGCAAGUUAUAGCUAUACUGCAAGCUUUGCAGUUGUUAGGUAUUGGGUAUUCACAAAUAACACAUUCAUCUAUGAUAAAUUUGCAGUAAAGGAAAAAGCACCAGAUUAUAUCUGAAAUAAUUUUAAAAGUGUAUCUAAUUUAAGUC